Molecule: ribosomal RNA, 499 nt
Filed under: uncultured bacterium
Lineage: Bacteria
Description: partial 16S ribosomal RNA
Rfam family: Bacterial small subunit ribosomal RNA
Source: RNAcentral
GACGAACGCUGGCGGCGUGCCUAAUACAUGCCAGUCGAGCGAAGUUUUUCUGGUGCUUGCACUAGAAAAACUUAGCGGCGAACGGGUGAGUAACACGUAAAGAACCUGCCUCAUAGACUGGGACAACUAUUGGAAACGAUAGCUAAUACCGGAUAACAGUAUUUCUCGCAUGAGAGAUAUUUAAAAGUUGGUUAUGCUAACACUAUGAGAUGGCUUUGCGGUGCAUUAGCUAGUUGGUGGGGUAAAGGCCCACCAAGGCGACGAUGCAUAGCCGACCUGAGUGGGUGAUCGGCCACACGGGGACUGAGACACGGCCCAGACUCCUACGGGAGGCAGCAGUAGGGAAUCUUCCGCAAUGGGCGAAAGCCUGACGGAGCAACGCCGCGUGAGUGAAGAAGGAUUUCGGUUCGUAAAGCUCUGUUGUUAGGGAAGAAUGGAUAUGUAGUAACUAUACAUGUAAGAGACGGUACCUAACCAGAAAGCCACGGCUAACUACGUG